GAUGAAGAACGUAGCGAAAUGCGAUAAGUAAUGCGAAUUGCAGAAUUCAGUGAAUCAUCGAAUCUUUGAACGCACAUUGCGCCCGUCAGUAUUCUGGCGGGCAUGCCUGUUCGAGCGUCAUUACGCCCCUCAAGUCCCCUGUGGACUUGGUGUUGGGGAUCGGCGAGGCUGGUUUUCCAGCACAGCCGUCCCUUAAAUUAAUUGGCGGUCUCGCCGUGGCCCUCCUCUGCGCAGUAGUAAAGCACUCGCAACAGGAGCCCGGCGCGGUCCACUGCCGUAAAACCCCCCAACUUUUUAUAGUUGACCUCGAAUCAGGUAGGACUACCCGCUGAACUUAAGCAUAUCAAUAAGCGGAGGA
Molecule: unclassified non-coding RNA, 358 nt
Filed under: soil metagenome
Description: partial contains 5.8S ribosomal RNA, internal transcribed spacer 2, and large subunit ribosomal RNA
Rfam family: 5.8S ribosomal RNA (bases 1-120)
Source: RNAcentral